AGCAAGGGAACAAAGAGAAAAAGAGAAGAACAAAUCCUAGGAAGGAAAAAUUUAAGAGAAAUUGUUGGAUUUCAAGGAAUCAAGCAAGUAAAGGUAAGAUUUUUUAAUUUUAGCUUGUGAUCUACCUUUCCCAUGCAUUCUUUUUCAUUCUCCAAAGCUGAAAUUCAAGUUUUCAAGAGGGAACCUUUGUUGGCCAAAUCUAGAGAGAGAAGUUUUGGUGAUGAAUUUUGCUAGAUUUCAUAAUAUCCUAGUGUUUUUAGUCAUUUUGUGAUGUUUGGAAGAAAAAACGAGCAAGAAAAUCACAUGUUCUUCAACCACCCUCAUUUGGCCGAAUUUUCUAUAGGGCAUGUUGAUGAUGGAUUUGGUUGUAAUUCAUGUUAUUUAGCUAGGAAUUGAUGAAUUAUGAUGU
RNAcentral lists this long non-coding RNA (409 nucleotides) under Theobroma cacao (cacao). Its description in RNAcentral is "long non-coding RNA (TCAC_LNC006211)". Lineage: Eukaryota; Viridiplantae; Streptophyta; Magnoliopsida; Malvales; Malvaceae. The record is from RNAcentral.